RNAcentral lists this non-coding RNA (255 nucleotides) under Neobacillus vireti. Its description in RNAcentral is "Bacillus vireti T-box sequence". It matches the Rfam family "T-box leader". From Rfam's summary of the family: Uncharged tRNA acts as the effector for transcription antitermination of genes in the T-box leader family. T-boxes are found upstream of many aminoacyl-tRNA synthetase genes and some amino acid biosynthetic genes usually in Gram-positive bacteria. The record is from RNAcentral. Lineage: Bacteria; Bacillati; Bacillota; Bacilli; Caryophanales; Bacillaceae.
UAUAAAGCAAUGAUAAAGAGUAGUACGUAUUCUUAUUCGUUUCAGAGAGUUUGUGGCUGGGGAAAACAAACGCGAAAAAAUACGGAAUGGACUUUUGAGCUUCUUUCUGAACCUUUUAUCAAAAGGAUUGAAAUAGUAGGAGUAGACGUUUCCUUGCGUUAAAAGGAUUCCAGAAUGUCUAAACAGACAAUUAUGGAGCUGAGUGACUCCUAUGCGAGUAAUUUAGGGUGGUACCGCGAACCAUUCGUCCCUAGC